GACGAACGCUGGCGGCGUGCCUAAUACAUGCAAGUCGAACGAACCGCGACUGAGUGCUUGCACUUGGUCAAGGUGAGUGGCGAACGGGUGAGUAACACGUGGGUAACCUACCUCAUAGUGGGGGAUAACAGUCGGAAACGACUGCUAAUACCGCAUAGGACAUAGGAUCACAUGAUCCAGUGAGGAAAGGUGGCGCAAGCUAUCGCUAAGAGAUGGACCCGCGGUGCAUUAGCUAGUUGGUAGGGUAAAGGCCUACCAAGGCGAUGAUGCAUAGCCGACCUGAGAGGGCGAUCGGCCACAUUGGGACUGAGACACGGCCCAAACUCCUACGGGAGGCAGCAGUAGGGAAUCUUCCGCAAUGGACGCAAGUCUGACGGAGCAACGCCGCGUGAGUGAAGAAGGUCUUCGGAUCGUAAAGCUCUGUUGUUAGAGAAGAACAGCGCAUAGAGUAACUGCUAUGCGUGUGACGGUAUCUAACCAGAAAGCCACGGCUAACUACGUG
This 502-nucleotide ribosomal RNA is filed under the name uncultured bacterium. Its description in RNAcentral is "partial 16S ribosomal RNA". It matches the Rfam family "Bacterial small subunit ribosomal RNA", at positions 28 to 507 of the family's 1533-position model. The record is from RNAcentral.